This 86-nucleotide transfer RNA is filed under the name Ralstonia pseudosolanacearum. Its description in RNAcentral is "tRNA-Gly". Lineage: Bacteria; Pseudomonadati; Pseudomonadota; Betaproteobacteria; Burkholderiales; Burkholderiaceae. The record is from RNAcentral.
AGAUCGCGAUCGGCGUGCAGGGUGGCGCCCGCCGCAUUGCCGAUGCGGCCGCCCGAGAGCGCCAGAUCUUUGCCCGCCACGAUCUG